GGUGCUCCUUCUGAAGAAGCGCUUCAAGUGCUAGGAUCUCCUCAAUUGGAAGAGUCUCAGCUAUCAUAUGGUGGACCAGAUAGAGAAGCGCUGGAAGAACCACAAGUCCUGCCUCAAAAGCAACCCAAAGGUCGGCUUAACAAGAAGGGGGAAAGUGGGAAGCAAGGUCACGUUGGCCAAACUGCCCAGGAGGACCGGGAGAAUUCUCGAGGAAAGCAGCAGAGAGGCCAAGGUCGACAGGGUGGUCGAGGCGGUAAAGGUGGUCAGAAAGGCCAGAAAGGCCAGAAAGGGAGAGGUGGCCAGAGAGGUCAGAGCCAGAGCUUUUCUUCUGACCAAUGACAAGGAAAACCCCUUGGAGAUGCCCCUGGCGAUGCCCCAGAAAUUGAUGGAGAUCAAUGGGUGACUGAGGACUUUUCAACAGUGUAUACUUCUUUACCUUUCCUUUCUCUAACUUCAAAACUUCAAUAAAA
Non-coding RNA from Heterocephalus glaber (naked mole-rat), 470 nucleotides. The record is from RefSeq and is a predicted model, not a curated record. NCBI's taxonomy places the organism in Eukaryota, Metazoa, Chordata, Mammalia, Rodentia, Bathyergidae.